UUCUUUCUUCGUCUAAAACAUUUUGUAUCGUCUGUUUGUAAUUAUUUACAGGAGAUUCGAUUUGUUCGAGAAGCACGGAGGUACCGUGAGCGACUUCCGUGACAUCUGCCGGAUCGAGCACGCGCUUCCCUCCAUCGACUGCGUCAUCGAUUCACUCUCUUAUAACCUGUUCGAUCGUUCUUCAAUUAUAUCUGCUCCCUAUUGUAGGCUAAAUACGUACAAUAGUACUUUUCUAAUAUCUCGCGCGAUUGUGUUUUAAUUGUAUAAUAUAAUAUAUAUAUAUAUAUAUUAUAAUAUAUAAUUAUUAAUAUAUUAUAUAUAUUUAAUUGUAUACGUUACUAUGAAUUGUCGAGACAGUUUCAUUUAAGGCUUUCCAGUGAAGUAUUUAUUUCUUCUUCUACGAGAAAGAUGCAAAUCAGAAAUUCAUUUCAAGAACAACGAAGCUUCAUUGCAAGAAACAAAACCUGCUCGUGAUGUUGAAGCUCGACGAACGAUGACAUUCAACCGUAUGAAAUCUGGAGAUCUUUGCAUGUGUUUUUUAAACACAUUGUUCAGACCCAAAAUCGAGCGAAACCGCAAACUGCCAAUAUUCGAAAUGCAGCACGUUGGAAAUAGUUUCAUUAAUUCUUACACGAACGGAUGUGAUAGGAUAAUUUUCAUGAAAUUAUGCAUAUUUAUUUUAAUAAUAUAAUAUAAUAAUUUAAUAAUAA
This is a long non-coding RNA of Megalopta genalis, 710 nucleotides long. RefSeq lists it as uncharacterized. The record is from RefSeq and is a predicted model, not a curated record. Lineage: Eukaryota; Metazoa; Arthropoda; Insecta; Hymenoptera; Halictidae.